GAGGAGCAUGUUUUACUAAGGAAUACAUAUAGGAUUCCCAUCAAUGUUGAGGAUCACUUAAGUAAUAUGCAAGCCAAUCAAAUGUAUCGGGAUAUUCAAUGUUGGAAGUUUCAUGAUGGAAACACAUAAUUUGGAAAAUCGGAAAGGGUAUGAGCAGAUUGCCAAGGGUAGCAAUGUCGCAUUGAUAAACAAUCAACAAUCAGUCAACCUCAAGGGCAUAAUUUCAAGAUCUUCAUUGCACAACUACCUAUGGGAUGGUGAUGAAGA
This 267-nucleotide long non-coding RNA is filed under the name Phoenix dactylifera (date palm). RNAcentral describes it as "long non-coding RNA (PDAC_LNC003271)". Lineage: Eukaryota; Viridiplantae; Streptophyta; Magnoliopsida; Arecales; Arecaceae. The record is from RNAcentral.